AGGCACUUUGUUCUUGGUGUCGAC
RNAcentral lists this non-coding RNA (24 nucleotides) under Arabidopsis thaliana (thale cress). The record is from RNAcentral. Lineage: Eukaryota; Viridiplantae; Streptophyta; Magnoliopsida; Brassicales; Brassicaceae.